GAACGCUGAAGAGAGGAGCUUGCUCUUCUUGGAUGAGUUGCGAACGGGUGAGUAACGCGUAGGUAACCUGCCUUGUAGCGGGGGAUAACUAUUGGAAACGAUAGCUAAUACCGCAUAACAAUGGAUGACACAUGUCAUUUAUUUGAAAGGGGCAAUUGCUCCACUACAAGAUGGACCUGCGUUGUAUUAGCUAGUAGGUGAGGUAACGGCUCACCUAGGCGACGAUACAUAGCCGACCUGAGAGGGUGAUCGGCCACACUGGGACUGAGACACGGCCCAGACUCCUACGGGAGGCAGCAGUAGGGAAUCUUCGGCAAUGGGGGCAACCCUGACCGAGCAACGCCGCGUGAGUGAAGAAGGUUUUCGGAUCGUAAAGCUCUGUUGUAAGUCAAGAACGAGUGUGAGAGUGGAAAGUUCACACUGUGACGGUAGCUUACCAGAAAGGGACGGCUAACUACGUGCCAGCAGCCGCGGUAAUACGUAGGUCCCGAGCGUUGUCCGGAUUUAUUGGGCGUAAAGCGAGCGCAGGCGGUUUGAUAAGUCUGAAGUUAAAGGCUGUGGCUCAACCAUAGUUCGCUUUGGAAACUGUCAAACUUGAGUGCAGAAGGGGAGAGUGGAAUUCCAUGUGUAGCGGUGAAAUGCGUAGAUAUAUGGAGGAACACCGGUGGCG
Molecule: ribosomal RNA, 670 nt
Filed under: uncultured Bacilli bacterium
Lineage: Bacteria; Bacillati; Bacillota; Bacilli
Description: bacterial SSU rRNA
Rfam family: Bacterial small subunit ribosomal RNA
Source: RNAcentral